UACGUAGGGUGCAAGCGUUGUCCGGAAUUAUUGGGCGUAAAGAGCUCGUAGGCGGUUUGUCGCGUCUGCUGUGAAAGUUCGGGGCUCAACCCCGGAACUGCAGUGGGUACGGGCAGACUAGAGUGCGGUAGAGGAGACUGGAAUUCCUGGUGUAGCGGUGGAAUGCGCAGAUAUCAGGAGGAACACCAGUGGCGAAGGCGGGUCUCUGGGCCGCAACUGACGCUGAGGCGCGAAUGCGUGGGGAGCAAACAGG
Molecule: ribosomal RNA, 253 nt
Filed under: uncultured bacterium
Lineage: Bacteria
Description: partial 16S ribosomal RNA
Rfam family: Bacterial small subunit ribosomal RNA
Source: RNAcentral